GCAGUAGAACUUAAGGAAGAAAAGAUGGGAUGAGUUGAUGCAUUGGGUUUGCACGGCAAGGUUUUCGUAGCAAGGGGGUUACAGGGGUGGCUUCUGUGAGAAGCUGCUAGAAGCUUCCCCCAUGUCCGACAGAGCCAAUGCCAGCCGGCUCCAAGACGGACCC
This is a long non-coding RNA of Aquila chrysaetos chrysaetos, 163 nucleotides long. RefSeq lists it as uncharacterized. The record is from RefSeq and is a predicted model, not a curated record. The transcript has 4 exons. Lineage: Eukaryota; Metazoa; Chordata; Aves; Accipitriformes; Accipitridae.